CAUCAAGAAAGUAGCUGCAAUUUUGCAGUCAUUAGGAACUGCUUCAUCGGUUUUGUAGCGUAAUCUAUGUCACUCUAAACAUCCGCAAUCUGCUGCAGAGGAGGUGCCACUUAUUUGUUUUUCAGUGUUUUGAACUAGGUUUACACUGCUAUCGUGGAUACAUAUAUGGUAAAAAUUAAUGAAUUCUAGCUAAAAUUUUUUCUGAGGGGUUUCCAAAGAAGCAUCUCCACCCCUGCUCUGCUGCACUCACAUGAUAUGUUU
Molecule: long non-coding RNA, 261 nt
Filed under: Oryza brachyantha (malo sina)
Lineage: Eukaryota; Viridiplantae; Streptophyta; Magnoliopsida; Poales; Poaceae
Description: long non-coding RNA (OBRA_LNC001124)
Source: RNAcentral